UGGCCAAAACUGCAUGUGGUUGUGCU
RNAcentral lists this non-coding RNA (26 nucleotides) under Mus musculus (house mouse). The record is from RNAcentral. Lineage: Eukaryota; Metazoa; Chordata; Mammalia; Rodentia; Muridae.